Biomphalaria glabrata is the source of this 1533-nucleotide long non-coding RNA. RefSeq lists it as uncharacterized. The record is from RefSeq and is a predicted model, not a curated record. Lineage: Eukaryota; Metazoa; Mollusca; Gastropoda; Planorbidae. The transcript is spliced from 3 exons.
ACAGGACCACAACCUAAUUGAGCUCAAACGUGUUCUUGUCAAGUAUGGACUAAGAAUUGAAAGUUAUUUGAAUUAUUGUGUAUUUAUUGUUCAUUAAAUUAUAUAGCUGGUGUAUUUAUCAAAAGAUACAAUACCAUAUCAGAGUAAAUCUUAUUACUGUAGUGUAGAAUUAAAGCUAUUAAAAGAAUGAAACUUUAAAAUUGUCGGUACAGCGUUUCAUUAAAUUCCCAGUUAGGACAAUUUUUACAGGUUUCUAUACUUGUGACGAAAAAAAAAAGCACAUUCAGAAUAUCUGAAGUUUCAGCUUACGACUCAGAAUCCUAGCAAGUUACAUGGUUGACCAACGGCAUUGACUUUUUCCAAAUGACCCAAAGUUUGAGGACCUAGCUCGCGAUUACUCCAAGAGAAACAACUGCACCAAUUUUAAUAGCGCCCAAAAUGUGUUGAGAUCUAACGCCCCAGACGGAUGAAGAGAAGGACAGACAACACAAAAUUAAUUUCUGCUUAGCACUACGUGGGGCCAUAGAAAUACAUUGAAGUAAAAUAAAAGUAACCAGAAGACUCAGGCAGUCGGGUUAGAGAGAAUCUUAACAACCAGACUCGGCCAUCUUUGUCUUAUCAAUGACCUCUAGGAGCAAUGAUCUGGACUAUUACCGUUAUGGUAUCGUAUGUGUGUGUGUGUGUGUGUGUUAGGUAGGAGGAGGCGUAUCCCUCCCCCCCCCCAAAAAAAAGGAACGGAAAGGGAGGGGGGUAACAUUAUUGCCUUUAUCAUUCACAGUUUUGUUGAGAUCUCUAUUUAAUCAUAAAUUUAAUGCUACUCUAGACAUACCAUAUCACUAAAUAGACAGAACAUAUCACUAAAUAGUUAGUAAAUAGACUUGCUAUACCACUAAAACAGACUUGCUAUAUCAGUAAAACAGACUAUUUGACUAAACACACGUACUAUGUCAUUGAACUGUAUGUAUUGUUCAGGUGCUUAGGUCACACUGCAUACACGUAACGGAUCCUGAACAUUGUGGAGACAGCAAUGUGAAAAGACACCAUUCUUUGAAAUAUUUAUACUUCCAAAUCUUUGUUGUGCUGCCUAUAUAGCGAGCUCCUCUAUUCAACAAUGGCACCUUGACAUCUUUGCUUUAUUUUACAAAAGGUUUAUUAUAUAUAAUGUUACUAUAAAUAUCACAAGCCAUAUCUCACUAUUUUUUUUAAAGAAGUUGUUUCAUUAUUUUAUCAAUGUUGUUACAUCACUAGGACUUCGUAUUGGUGGAAAGAAAAAUGUUUUGCCAUUCAAAUUAAGUAGAAAACACUUCUGACUGAAUGUCACAUUACUGUAAACCUUCCACUGAUUGAAAAACAUUUGGCAAGGAAAGAAUAACAAGGAAAAUGUAAAAAAUAUAUAUAUAUAUAUAUACUUUAAACCAGGGGUUCUCAACCUGUGGGUCGCGACCCCCUUGGGGGUCGAUUGACAAUUUGCCAGGGGUCGCCAAAGACCAUUGAAAAAAUGGAUUGUUAUUGUCUAUUCUUCAAUUGCUGUGU